AUUGAACGCUGGCGGCAGGCCUAACACAUGCAAGUCGAGCGGAUGAAGGGAGCUUGCUCCUGGAUUCAGCGGCGGACGGGUGAGUAAUGCCUAGGAAUCUGCCUGGUAGUGGGGGAUAACGUCCGGAAACGGGCGCUAAUACCGCAUACGUCCUGAGGUAGAAAGUGGGGGAUCUUCGGACCUCACGCUAUCAGAUGAGCCUAGGUCGGAUUAGCUAGUUGGUGGGGUAAAGGCUUACCAAGGCGGCGAUCCGUAACUGGUCUGAGGGGAUGAUCAGUCACACUGGAACUGAGACACGGUCCAGACCCCUACGGGAGGCAGCAGUGGGGAAUAUUGGACAAUGGGCGAAAGCCUGAUCCAGCCAUGCCGCGUGUGUGAAGAAGGUCUUCGGAUUGUAAAGCACUUUAAGUUGGGAGGAAGGGCAGUAAGUUAAUACCUUGCUGUUUUGACGUUACCAACAGAAAAGCACCGGCUAACUUCGUG
RNAcentral lists this ribosomal RNA (483 nucleotides) under uncultured bacterium. RNAcentral's name for it is "partial 16S ribosomal RNA". It matches the Rfam family "Bacterial small subunit ribosomal RNA", at positions 30 to 507 of the family's 1533-position model. The record is from RNAcentral.